Non-coding RNA from Cyanistes caeruleus (blue tit), 597 nucleotides. Lineage: Eukaryota; Metazoa; Chordata; Aves; Passeriformes; Paridae. The record is from RefSeq and is a predicted model, not a curated record.
CAAUAGUAUCAGCUGUUGCUGAUACCUUCCAUGGGUUCAUCCAAACCAUCCCAACUUGGGGAGCUGCUUUGAGAGUCAUAAAUCACUUCUGAGUCCUCAGAUUUGCUCAUGUCUUUACAGCCAGCAGUUGUUGAAUCAUUGUGUUGUGUUCCUUUUCAGACAUCUUUCCUUAUCUUUUAUUAUUUGCUGUUAGGUCAGCUUCUUCCAGCAACAAUCUGGAAUCAGAGCUCCAGAACCACCUGGAGUCCAUCAGGGUUACUGUGAGAAGUUACCAGCAGCACUUGGAGGAAGCAUUAGGAAAAUUAAGGGAUUCAAAUGUGGAUUUUCUCAAAAGUUGCAGAUUAUUUUCAGAGGUCGGUAACUUUUCUUCUGAGGAGGUAUAGUUUUUCAGCAAGUGUCUUCAGAAAGAAAGUAAAGAAAUUGACUCCUUUGAAAGUUCAAUCAAAACAGAUGUGGAGCAAAUAAAAUCGAGCUGCUUGGAGCAGGCUACAGAACUGUUCAAGCAGUCUCAAAAAAGGUUUGCUUCUCUCUCUCUGAGUCGAGCCUUUAUGAGGAAGGUCCCUCAAUCUUUGAGGAGGUUACGACAGCAAAUCAAAU